UGCUCCUCCUCUCAGACCUUCCCAAAUGCCUCAGAUGCCCCUGAUGCUCCACACAAGAGUACAGUUUGAAAGCCAUUUACUGCUGUAAAUGACAGUGAGUUAGAGAUAUGAUUAAAAAAAUAGAUUCAGGCAGGUUACCCAUAGCCACGCCAAAUAGUGAACGGCUAUCAUCAGACUUCUGAAUCAGAAAUAGGAGGGUAUGCAAGGUGUGACUUCAAAGUAAUAAGUGACUUAUUCUCUAUAAUUGUGAUAGAAGGAAGGCUUUCAAGACAGCUAUCCCGGCAGCUAAACUUACCACAGUUUACUUGCUGUCCUGUCAUUGCAUCUCCUAAUCUUCACAGGUGAUGUCCCUUAACUCUUUUCCACCCCCUCCACUCUUGUCACUUACCAUUAGACCUUCCUGCCCUCUGCCCCAAGCACUUAGAUUAAGGACUUAGCCCUGAUUCAGUUCUAGCCCUUGCCCUACUUACUUUUGGGUAGCCCAUUUCCUCCAUGACCAAGUCUAGGCCAGGAUUAAAUGAAAGUAGAUUUCCUGCUCUCCAGUCACAGUCUCCUGUGAUGAUUGUCACUAUAUGGACCUCUGGUCCUAUCUCCUUGUCUCCAGUUUUUGUAGAUUUUGAACUGAGUUUGGAACCUUAGCUCUGCCAUUGAAUUCACCAUUCCCACAGCCCCUGCCCAAUCCCAACUAAUGGUUUUGUAUUUGUUUUUCAGCCAUAAAACUCUUUCAUGAAACAAAAAUCCUAAAUGAAAGUAGAAUAUGUAAAACAGAUAAAAAAUGGAACUUACCUGAUUGUAAAAAAGGUGAAGACUCCCAUUUGCACAGCAUCUCAUCUGGCAUAGAGUAAGCACUCAGUAAAUGCUAACUCUUUAAUAAUAACAAUAGCAAAAACAAGAACUAUGAAAAAGUUGUUCAAAUGCUACUCAAAUGCUACCAUCUUCAAGAAGACUUCUCAGAUUUUCUCUUCCUUUUCUAAAUGCUCAUAAUAGUUUAUUUUGUACCACUUCUGGUGGAAGUUUCUACAUUAUGUCUGACAUUAAAGUUAUUUUUAUUUUUCCUACUAUAGUUUAGGUGCUUGAGGAAUACUCUCGAACCAUUUCAUCUCUCUACUUUUCAUAGAACUUCAUAUUAUGCCUGGGACAAACUGAUCCUAAGGUGAUCCCUGCCUUCUGGUAUUUAUGCCCUUGUAUAAAUCCCUUCCCUUGAACAUUGGCAAGGCUUGUGGUUUGCUUCUAACCAAUAGAAUAUGGCAAAGGUGAUGAGAUGUCAUUCCCAUGAUUAUGUUACAUUAUAAAAGACUCCAUUUGCUGGAAUUCUUGCUCUAGAAUCUUUCUUUCCAUUGUUAGCUUUGAAGAAGACAAUUGUUAUGAAAAAGCAUCUGUCUCAAGGAUAUAGCAUCUCCCAAAAUUCAAAUGAGGUGAGAAGCAGUUUUGUUAAAGGCAGAAAGCUAGAGGAAACUUCCCCAGUUGAGCCUUCAGAUGAGACUGCAGCCCUGGACAACAUCUUAAUUGCAGUCUAGUGAGACCCUAUGCAGAGGAUUGAGCUAAGCCAUGUACAGACUUCUGACCUAGAGAAAAUCUGAGGUCCAAAGGAGAUGAUAAAAUGUAAUCACUAAAUGUCAGCUGGAUGAAAGCCCAAGCCUCCCUGAACACUGCAGCCAACUGGUGGAGUUUGGAUUUCUUGGUCUGGUUCCAGGAACGCCUGACCCAGAAUUGAAGCACUUCCUUGAUGGAGGCUGCUCUGAAGAAAACUGUGGCUAGCUUUCAUCACCAAGAGAAGGUAACCAGAAAAAGUGUCCCACCAGCCACCAGAGGGAGGAAUGACCCCAACUCUCCAGAGGACUAGGGCUAUGCCAGCUGGUUUCCUUUCCUGAGUUCUAUGUGGUUGUACUUAGAGGAAGGAGAAAGGAUCCUCAGAAUACACUGACCUCCUCUUCUCCCUCCUGGUUAAUUCUUAACUGGUUUGAAUGAAACUCUUUAAAGCAGUGAACUGAUUUAGAAUCAUAAGAGCAACACUUUUUUUUUUUCAUUUGUAAAAUGUCUUUUCAAAUCCAUCAUAAAAGCACAUUUUAUAUGUCAACCUUGCAAAUGGCUGUUGAAAUUUUGUGGGCUCCCACAACAUUUUUGUUAGUCGUUGCACAUUCACUACAGUAUGAGUAAUGUGUGUAAUAACGUGGACCUGAUCAUUACGGGCACCCAGCCCCGAAGGUAGAGAAGGGGCUUCGAGUUUUGUGGGGUCGAUGUUAAAUUUUCAGAAAUCUUCUUAUUCACAGUCCGAUUUCUAUCAAACACCAACUUAGUUUUUUUCAAGUCUCAGGCCUGUGGUUUCAUGCUAAUUUGCCAGGCUGCUGAUGUUGUAUUGACUAAGCAGUUAUAUCCAUAAAGACUUUCCAACUAUUAGCAAAUUUGUAUUUAUUAGUUAGCUAGAUGGGGUAGAAUACUCAGCAUGUUGCCCAAAUUUCAGUUAAGCAGUUCAUUUUGUAAACUCUUUUACAUUGCUAUCUUUAUAAAUUAUUUCUUACGACAGUCCUAUGAGAUAGGCUAAUGCUGUUGUCCAGAAGCUGCCUAGGUUUUAGAAAGGGUACAUGAUGUGUCCUGAGAUAGUGGUAGAACCAAGAUUAGAAUUCACAGUUCUUGGGGCUCAGGCGGCCAUGUCUUGUCACCCAUCUGAUGUGUCCACCCACUUCCUUAAGUUAUAUUAAGUUUGGGUACCAUUGCAGAGUCACAGAUUCAGAUAAAAUAACAGUUAUGGAAAUGGAGUCCAUGUCCAUAAAAGCAGAGCCCUGCAUUCAGCAGCCUGAGUGGUGCCCCACAUGGGAUGGGUGCUCUCACUCCUUCAGAGUCCCCUACACUAAUGGCUUCCCCAGAGGCUGUUUCUACUCUUCUGAGUUAAGCUGUUCAAACUGGAAGAUCAUUUAGUUCAACUCUUUGUUUUGCAGGGAAGGAAAGCCUCAGGACAAAAUUGGGUCAGUCUCAGGAUAAGAACCUGAGUUACCUGACACUGGCUUCAGCACUCUGCUCCCUAGACCGCCCUGUUUCUCCAGACUGGCUUCUAAGCCACUUGCUAUGGAGUUAGAAAGUGAACUGAGGUAUCAGUCAAUGUCCACAAAAUAUGAAUUUGGGAUGUUUCCUGGGUCCAAGGAAGCCCAGAGCUUGAGCCCAGAGUUUGUAGGUAGAAGAUGAGAUUGGUGAGUGAUGUUUUCUGUUUCACCAAGUAGUAAUACCUGUGCAACUAGACCUAUUGUCUAUAAAACCCACAAUGAAAUGGAGACUUCAAAUGAUUUCCGUAGACAGCCAAACCAAAGCAAUUAUCUAGGCCUCAAAUGGAACAUUGUGGUCUGAACAUGAAGGAUGAUAAUUUGUUAUCUAAGUAAAUCCUAUUUUGUCAUUAUAAUUGUUAAUAUGCAAAAUGUUGGGUGGGAAGACCCACGUUAGAAAACAUAAGCCUAUGCCUAUUGAAAGGCGCUUCUGGGAACCAGGGUUUCCCACGCUUUGGUCAUUCACGUAUAUCACCAUUUUUACCGUAUCUGCACAUUUUCAUUAGACUGAUUUUUUUUUAAUAUAAAGCAAUAUAUGAAGAGAGGAAAAAUUUAUAGAACUGAAAAAUGGUAAUCCAGUAUCAUUUGCCAUAAAAAAAUUAAAAUAAAUUCAUAAUGAGAAAAUUUUUAUAAAGUUUGUGCCCUCAUUAGAACCAUCUCAUGUAUGAUCAGCAAUGUCUACUAUGCCUUAGAAGCAUUGAUCUGGGCCAGCAGUUACCAAUAUUUUUUAGGGGUAGGAACCAUUUAUACCCUUAAAAAUUAUUGCGAAGCCCUAACGAGAUUUUAUUUAUGUGGGUUGUAUCUAUAAAAAUUCGCUAUAUUGGAAGUAAAAGCUGAGAAGUCGUUAAAAUAUAUAUUUAAUAAUUCAUUUACAAAUAAUAAUAAGCCCAUCAUGUGGUGACUUAAACAUCAUUAAGUUGCUGUGAAGCCAUUAAUAUCAUAAUUAAAAGGCUAUAUUUUCCAAAGCGAAAAGAAAAAAGCGUACCGAAAAUAGUGGCAUUGUUUUACAUUUUUGUCAAUUAACGUCUUAAGAGAAGACGGUGGGUUCUCACACCUGUGUCUGUAUUCACUAUGCCGGGAUAUGUCGUUUGGGUUGAAGUGUAUGGAGAAUGUCUGGCUUCACACAGAUAUGUAGUUGGAAAAGAGAAGCGUACUCUGGUAGCCUUGCUCCAUGUUGUGGAUACUCUUCUUUGAUGAUGUACCAGAGCUCAACAAUGUACAGAAGCUGAAAUCAGUGAACUUUCACUUUAAAAUCUAUUGAUUUACUUUCUACCUUGAGUAAACCUUUUACCUAUACAUGAUUUUGUAACAGCAUACAUCAGUCCCUUGGAAAAUGCUACUUCACCAAGUUAUGCGGGUCUUUCAAAUUUUGGCGCAUUUCCUUACAUAAUACAUAUAUUUUGUUAACAUUUAUUUAUUUUUGAGGCAGACAGAGAUAGAAUGCGAGUGAGUUAGGGGCAGA
Felis catus (domestic cat) is the source of this 4497-nucleotide long non-coding RNA. RefSeq lists it as uncharacterized. The record is from RefSeq and is a predicted model, not a curated record. Lineage: Eukaryota; Metazoa; Chordata; Mammalia; Carnivora; Felidae. The transcript is spliced from 3 exons.